This 448-nucleotide ribosomal RNA is filed under the name uncultured bacterium. Its description in RNAcentral is "bacterial SSU rRNA". It matches the Rfam family "Bacterial small subunit ribosomal RNA", at positions 330 to 795 of the family's 1533-position model. The record is from RNAcentral.
ACCAGACUCCUACGGGAGGCAGCAGUGGGGGAUAUUGCACAAUGGGGGGAACCCUGAUGCAGCGACGCCGCGUGGGUGAAGAAGCGCCUCGGCGCGUAAAGCCCUGUCAGCAGGGAAGAAAAUGACGGUACCUGAAGAAGAAGCCCCGGCUAACUACGUGCCAGCAGCCGCGGUAAUACGUAGGGGGCAAGCGUUAUCCGGAUUUACUGGGUGUAAAGGGGGCGCAGACGGCGAUGCAAGCCAGGAGUGAAAGCCCGGGGCCCAACCCCGGGACUGCUCUUGGAACUGCGUGGCUGGAGUGCAGGAGGGGCAGGCGGAAUUCCUGGUGUAGCGGUGAAAUGCGUAGAUAUCAGGAGGAACACCGGUGGCGAAGGCGGCCUGCUGGACUGCAACUGACGUUGAGGCCCGAAAGCGUGGGGAGCAAACAGGAUUAGAUACCCCCGUAAUA